GUGAGUAUCGGCUAAUGGUAAGCAGACCGCCUUCCAAGCGGGCAAUGUUGGUUCGAUUCCAACUACUCAUA
RNAcentral lists this transfer RNA (71 nucleotides) under Emericellopsis fuci. RNAcentral's name for it is "Acremonium fuci tRNA-Gly". It matches the Rfam family "tRNA". From Rfam's summary of the family: Transfer RNA (tRNA) molecules are approximately 80 nucleotides in length. Their secondary structure includes four short double-helical elements and three loops (D, anti-codon, and T loops). The record is from RNAcentral. Lineage: Eukaryota; Fungi; Ascomycota; Sordariomycetes; Hypocreales; Bionectriaceae. RNAcentral also lists the same sequence under 2 other names.